GGGGGCACCCUGGCGGCGAGCGGCGAACGGGUGAGUAAUACAUCGGAACGUACCCAGGAGUGGGGGAUAACACAUCGAAAGAUGUGCUAAUACCGCAUACGCCCUGAGGGGGAAAGCGGGGGAUCGCAAGACCUCGCGCUGUUGGAGCGGCCGAUGUCGGAUUAGCUAGUUGGUAGGGUAAAGGCCUACCAAGGCGACGAUCCGUAGCUGGUCUGAGAGGAUGAUCAGCCACACUGGGACUGAGACACGGCCCAGACUCCUACGGGAGGCAGCAGUGGGGAAUUUUGGACAAUGGGGGCAACCCUGAUCCAGCCAUUCCGCGUGAGUGAAGAAGGCCUUCGGGUUGUAAAGCUCUUUCGGCAGGAACGAAACGGCGGGCUCUAACAUGGCCUGUCAAUGACGGUACCUGAAGAAGAAGCACCGGCUAACUACGUGCCAGCAGCCGCGGUAAUACGUAGGGUGCGAGCGUUAAUCGGAAUUACUGGGCGUAAAGCGUGCGCAGGCGGUUUUGUAAGACAGCUGUGAAAUCCCCGGGCUUAACCUGGGAACUGCGGUUGUGACUGCAAGACUAGAGUGCGGCAGAGGGGGGUGGAAUUCCACGUGUAGCAGUGAAAUGCGUAGAGAUGUGGAGGAACACCGAUGGCGAAGGCAGCCCCCUGGGUUGACACUGACGCUCAUGCACGAAAGCGUGGGUAGCAAACAGGAUUAGAUACCCUGGUAGUCCACGCCCUAAACGAUGCCAACUAGGUGUUGGGGAAGGAGACUUCCUUAGUACCGUAGCUAACGCGUGAAGUUGGCCGCCUGGGGAGUACGGUCGCAAGAUUAAAACUCAAAGGAAUUGACGGGGACCCGCACAAGCGGUGGAUGGAUGUGGAUUAAUUCGAUGC
This 887-nucleotide ribosomal RNA is filed under the name uncultured bacterium. Its description in RNAcentral is "bacterial SSU rRNA". It matches the Rfam family "Bacterial small subunit ribosomal RNA", at positions 76 to 957 of the family's 1533-position model. The record is from RNAcentral.